This 467-nucleotide ribosomal RNA is filed under the name uncultured bacterium. RNAcentral describes it as "partial 16S ribosomal RNA". It matches the Rfam family "Bacterial small subunit ribosomal RNA", at positions 28 to 523 of the family's 1533-position model. The record is from RNAcentral.
GAUGAAUGCUGGCGGCGUGCCUAACACAUGCAAGUCGAGCGGCAGCGCGAGUAGUUUACUACUUGGCGGCGAGCGGCGGACGGCUGAGUAACGCGUGGGAACGUGCCCCAAAGUGAGGGAUAAAGCACCGAAAGGUGUGCUAAUACCGCAUAUGAUCUUCGGAUUAAAGAAUUUAUUCGCUUUGGGAGCGGCCCGAGUCGGAUUAGGUAGUUGGUAGGGUAAUGGCCUACCAAGCCGACGAUCCGUAGCUGGUCUGAGAGGAUGACCAGCCAGACUGGAACUGAGACACGGUCCAGACUCCUACGGGAGGCAGCAGUGAGGAAUCUUCCACAAUGGGCGAAAGCCUGAUGGAGCAACGCCGCGUGCAGGAUGAAGGCCUUCGGGUUGUAAACUGCUUUUAUAAGUGAAGAAUAUGACGGUAACUUAUGAAUAAGCACCGGCUAACUACGUGCCAGCAGCCGCCGUAA